GGCCAUCCAUUGGAGGUAGGCGGAGACUUCUCACAGCCGAGCAGGAGACUGCCCUGGUGAAUAUGGCGAUUGCCAAUAAUGCAAUCCGUUUGAGGGAAAUUCAAACCCAAAUAGUUGCAGACCAGGGAGUCUUCAAGGAAUUGACAGCAUCAAUAUUUCCACAAUUGACCGGAUCGUUCAGAAGAACCACAUAAGGACAAGGCAGCUGUACCGUGUGCCUUUUGAGAGGAAUUCAGAGAUAAGGAGCAACGAUUCCAAUAUGUGCAGUAUCUUUGAGCUGGAUGCCAUGGCUGACCCACAGUAGUACAUUUUCAUCGCCUAGGCAGGGUUCAACCCAACAAAAGGGGGCACAACAUCAUUGGUCACCGUGCCAUCAUACAAGUUCCUGGUCAGAGGGGAGGCAACGUCACCCUAUGUGCAGCCAUCAGCAAUCGUGGCAUCCUUUCACCGCCAUGUCAAACAUAUUCCCCAUUUCUGAAUCCAAUCGAGGAAUUUUUCUCAACAUGGCAGUGGAGAGUGUUUGACUGCAACCUCUACGCACAGCAAAACCUCCUGGAGGCAAAGGUGGAUGCCUGUGGUGAUGUGCCUGCAGUGUCUAGCCAGGGUUUUCUAAGGCAUACAAGGGCAUUUUCCCCACACUGCCUGGUAAGGUCAAACAUAAUGUGUGACAUUGAUGAUGAGAACACUG
Oncorhynchus keta (chum salmon) is the source of this 688-nucleotide long non-coding RNA. RefSeq lists it as uncharacterized. NCBI's taxonomy places the organism in Eukaryota, Metazoa, Chordata, Actinopteri, Salmoniformes, Salmonidae. The record is from RefSeq and is a predicted model, not a curated record. The transcript is spliced from 3 exons.